CCAAUAGCGUAUAUUAAAGUUGUUGCAGUUAAAAAGCUCGUAGUUGAAUUUCGGGAUCAAUAUGUCGGUCGUGCCAUCGGUACGUACUGGUAUCAUUGGUCUCUCCUUUCUGACGAACCAUGAUGUCAUUAAUUUGGUGUUAUGGGAAGUUAGGACUGUUACUUUGAAAAAAUUAGAGUGUUUAAAGCAGGCUUUGGCUUGAAUACAUUAGCAUGGAAUA
RNAcentral lists this ribosomal RNA (220 nucleotides) under uncultured Glomus. Its description in RNAcentral is "partial small subunit ribosomal RNA". It matches the Rfam family "Eukaryotic small subunit ribosomal RNA", at positions 591 to 816 of the family's 1831-position model. The record is from RNAcentral. Lineage: Eukaryota; Fungi; Glomeromycota; Glomeromycetes; Glomerales; Glomeraceae.